AAGAAUUUUGUUUUGCAUCAGCCAGAAAACCACCCACCCAAAUCCUCCGCCCGAACUCUUUCCUCUGCCCCCGCUCCUGUCGAUGCUGAUACACCCAAUCCCAACCCACUUCCGAUGCUCAUAUCCCUCGGCUCUCCCCUUCUCCCUCCCCACACUCCAAUCAGUCGCCCCCAGCGUGGCCAGCUCCAUCUCCGCCCUGCCGAGGAGGAGAGCCUCCCCCGUCAAGAGCAGCGACGCGACCGAGGAAGCGGCGUUGCUCGUCCACCAAAUCCUACGUAAGUCUGGCGAACGGAACCAACCCAUGGUGGUCAGGUCACGAUCAGCAAGUUCGUGAGGGUCGUUCGCACCGAGCACUUCUUCCUGCUCUUCCAGGAGCUCGGGAAUCGCGAUCGCUGAUUCCAGUACCUAGAGGCGAUUCUCCAUUUUAGAUUUGGCGUUUCGUGGAUUUUCAAAUAGGCAACAAGAAGAAGAGCAGAGGGAUCUCAAUUGACUCGCCUUGAUGAGAUGCAUCAGUUCAAUGCCGGCUCCUUUAAAAUGCCUCGACGAGAUACAUCAGGUUGAGGUUGUCCGGAGCAGUUCCAGUCGCUAGUCCCCAUUGCACGUAGUGCUUGUCCUCUG
Long non-coding RNA from Zingiber officinale, 618 nucleotides. RefSeq lists it as uncharacterized. The record is from RefSeq and is a predicted model, not a curated record. NCBI's taxonomy places the organism in Eukaryota, Viridiplantae, Streptophyta, Magnoliopsida, Zingiberales, Zingiberaceae. The transcript has 4 exons.